CGUGCAAAUCGAUUUAGUUUGAUAAUUAUAAAAUUAUUUAUUUUUUUUGUUUAAAUUUAUUAAUAAAAAUAAUUUUAUUUUUAUAAAUUUUUAGUAUAUUUUAUUGAAAAAAUUAGUUUAAUUAUAGUGUAUUAGUAUUGUGAGAGAGUUUUUAAAUAUUAUUUAAUUUUAUAAAAGUAUAAUUAAUUUUUAGUACCUUGUGUAUCAGGGUUUAUUAAAUAAAGGUUAUAUAAUUUAAUUUUCCCGAAUUUAAGAGAGUUAAUAUAUUAUUUUUUUUAUUGUAAAAAAAAUAUUUAAAAUAAUUUAUUAGUAAUGAAAUGUUAUUCGUUCUUAAAUAUAUCUGGUUUAUUUAGAAAUAAAUUUAAUUUAUACAUUUAUAUUUUAAUAUUUUGAUUUAUUAAUUUAUUAAAUUUAAAUGUAAAUAAUUAAGGGGAUUAGCUUUUAAUUAAAAAUUUAAAAAUUUGAAGUUUAUAUUAAAAAAUGUAAGUUUAGAAUUAUCUAUCAAUUAUAGUAUGUUAUAAUAAAUUUAAUUAAAAAUAUAAUUUUAUAAUAUUUUAAGUUUUUUAUAAAUAAUUAAUUUUUAAUUUUAUAGAUUUAGUUAUAAUGAUAAAAUUAGUAUAAAUUUUAUAUUUAAAUAUUUUUUUUUAAAAGAUUAUUUAAAGGAAUUCGGCAAAAAUUUUACUCGCCUGUUUAACAAAAACAUGUCCUUUUGAGAUUAAUAUAAGGUCUGACCUGCCCACUGAAUAAUUUAAAUGGCCGCAGUAUUUUGACUGUGCGAAGGUAGCAUAAUCAUUAGUUUUUUAAUUAAAAGCUUGUAUGAAGGGUUGGACGAGGUAAACUCUGUCUCUAUUUAAAUUAAAUUAGAAUUUAAUUUUUAAGUUAAAAAGCUUAAAUUUUUUUAAAAGACGAGAAGACCCUAUAGAUCUUUAUAAUUAGUUAAAUAAAAUAAAUUAAGAUUAAUUUUUAUUUUAUUCAAUUAAUUAUUUUAUUGGGGUAAUAGGAAGAUUAAAUUAAUUCUUUUUAAUUUAUUAACAUAAAUAAAUGAUUUAUUGAUCCAUUUUUAUUGAUUAUAAGAUUAAGUUACCUUAGGGAUAACAGCGUAAUUUUUUUAGAGAGUUCAUAUCGAUAAAAAAGUUUGCGACCUCGAUGUUGGAUUAAAAAUUAUCUUAGGUGCAGAAGUUUAAGAUUUUGGUCUGUUCGACCAUUAAAUUUUUACAUGAUCUGAGUUCAAACCGGUGUAAGCCAGGUUGGUUUCUAUCUUUAUAAAAAUAUAAUAUUUUAGUACGAAAGGACCAAGUAUUAAUUAUAUUAAUAGUUAUAAUUUGAAUAAUAUUAUUACUUUGGCAGAAUAGUGUGGUGAAUUUAGAAUUCAUUUA
This 1376-nucleotide ribosomal RNA is filed under the name Hygrobia hermanni. Its description in RNAcentral is "16S ribosomal RNA". The stretch from base 1091 to 1249 matches the Rfam family "Archaeal large subunit ribosomal RNA", at positions 2544 to 2703 of the family's 2987-position model. The record is from RNAcentral. Lineage: Eukaryota; Metazoa; Arthropoda; Insecta; Coleoptera; Hygrobiidae.